This is a long non-coding RNA of Heterocephalus glaber (naked mole-rat), 1109 nucleotides long. The record is from Ensembl. Lineage: Eukaryota; Metazoa; Chordata; Mammalia; Rodentia; Bathyergidae.
GGAGAGGUAGUAACCUUUUCUUACUACUGGUGUGUGCCAAGCCGAGUGCCAGGCACUGAGGGAGCCUGAAAUCCUGAUUAGACCAUGGAGAAGCCUGCCCCAGUGAAUGAGAUGGUCGACGUUUCCCAUUCACCCUUUGGUCACCUGUGCGGCUGGGCUCACUGCAGUCUGAGGAGACCAUGGUCCUUGGAGGCCAUGUGGGGGCCUGACCUCUUCCUUUUAGCUCAGCUUCUAGGACAGCCAACCCCAUCCCAAAAAUAUUCCGAGGAAUCCAGAUAAAAAGAGAUGAAAGGAAGAGGAUCAAUAGCAAAGACCAGGUUGAGAAAGAUGUUCCUAAACUCAGAUUUAUUGUCUUAAUUUCCUGACCAGGUUUGACUCUUGGGUGUGUAUGGUUCCCUUCCACCUCCACACAUGCUUAGGCUCUCUAGGGCCUCUGAGUCCCACCUCCUGAGAGCUGUGGUUUGAACCAUGUUCUAGGCUGGACAAGCGUGGUUUUCCGUGUGUCCUCCCUACUCCUGUAGAAAAGCUGUCGAGGUCCUGCAGCAAGUUUUCAGCAGCUGUCAGCAGGCUCGGUCCACAGCGAGCUGGGAGGAGAGGGGUUCAUCCUUGGGAGGAUGUGGGGACAUGAAGGGAGCAGGAGUGUGGCUCUGCCUGCCCUGACUCCACCUCACACAGUUCUUACUCACAUGCCCUCCUUAAGUUUCUCCCUCUCUCCUAGAUCCAGAUACUGCUCUUUCCUGGCAUUCACCUUGCCAACAAAUCGGGAACUGAAAAUGACAGUAUGUACCUGGGCACGUGGUCUGCCUCAUUAACCAGAGAAGCAGCUAAGAGGGCAGUGAGAUAUUGAGCUUCUGGCAAUUUCAAAUGUGCAUCAUUCAGUGGUUCCACACACAGGCCUGGAGCACCCUGGACCUCUGAGGACCUCUCCUGGAGGUGGAGGAUUCAGAAUGAGCCCGAGAGGUAGGGCCAGUGUGUCUGCUUGCAGGGUUGUGGGCAGAGCACUGAACCAACAGGCCUGAGGUCCAUUCGGAGACAGACUCCCGGGUGCUGGCUUCUGUGGACCUGGCUCUUCUGCAGGAGCAGUUGGUGUGUCGCCCACCCUCCCUGAG